Molecule: non-coding RNA, 70 nt
Filed under: Niastella vici
Lineage: Bacteria; Pseudomonadati; Bacteroidota; Chitinophagia; Chitinophagales; Chitinophagaceae
Description: Fluoride sequence
Rfam family: Fluoride riboswitch aptamer (crcB RNA motif)
Source: Rfam by way of RNAcentral
UAAUCAAUAGGCGAUGGAGUUCGCCUUUGAGCGCCACUUUCCACGCGUGGCUAAUGACUCCUGUUUCAUG